RNAcentral lists this ribosomal RNA (471 nucleotides) under uncultured bacterium. RNAcentral describes it as "bacterial SSU rRNA". It matches the Rfam family "Bacterial small subunit ribosomal RNA", at positions 28 to 526 of the family's 1533-position model. The record is from RNAcentral.
GACGAACGCUGGCGGCGUGCUUAACACAUGCAAGUCGAACGGACCUUCGGGUUAGUGGCGAACGGGUGAGUAACACGUGGGUGAUCUGCCCUGCACUUUGGGAUAAGCCUGGGAAACUGGGUCUAAUACCGAAUAGGACCACGCGCUUCAUGGUGUGUGGUGGAAAGCUUUUGCGGUGUGGGAUGGGCCCGCGGCCUAUCAGCUUGUUGGUGGGGUAAUGGCCUACCAAGGCGACGACGGGUAGCCGGCCUGAGAGGGUGACCGGCCACACUGGGACUGAGAUACGGCCCAGACUCCUACGGGAGGCAGCAGUGGGGAAUAUUGCACAAUGGGCGCAAGCCUGAUGCAGCGACGCCGCGUGAGGGAUGACGGCCUUCGGGUUGUAAACCUCUUUCACCAGGGACGAAGCGUAAGUGACGGUACCUGGAGAAGAAGCACCGGCCAACUACGUGCCAGCAGCCGCAGUAAUAC